GCGGCAACAGCUCAAAUUUGAAAUCUGGCGUCUUUGGCGUCCGAGUUGUAAUUUGCAGAGGGCGCUUUGGCAUUGGCAGCGGUCCAAGUUCCUUGGAACAGGACGUCACAGAGGGUGAGAAUCCCGUACGUGGUCGCUAGCCUUUACCGUGUAAAGCCCCUUCGACGAGUCGAGUUGUUUGGGAAUGCAGCUCUAAAUGGGAGGUAAAUAUCUUCUAAAGCUAAAUACUGGCCAGAGACCGAUAGCGCACAAGUAGAGUGAUCGAAAGAUGAAAAGCACUUUGGAAAGAGAGUUAAAAAGCACGUGAAAUUGUUGAAAGGGAAGCGCUUGCAGCCAGACUUGCCUGUAGUUGCUCAUCCGGGUUUUUACCCGGUGCACUCUUCUAUAGGCAGGCCAGCAUCAGUUUGGGCGGUUGGAUAAAGGUCUCUGUCAUGUACCUCUCUUCGGGGAGAACUUAUAGGGGAGACGACAUGCAACCAGCCUGGACUGAGGUCCGCGCAUCUGCUAGGAUGCUGGCGUAAUGGCUGUAAGCGGCCCGUCUUGAAACACGGACCAAGGAGUCUAACAUCUAUGCGAGUGUUUGGGUGUCAAGCCCGAGCGCGUAAUGAAAGUGAACGGAGGUGGGAACCUUUCGGGGUGCACCAUCGACCGAUCCUGAUGUCUUCGGAUGGAUUUGAGUAAGAGCAUAGCUGUUGGGACCCGAAAGAUGGUGAACUAUGCUUGAAUAGGGUGAAGCCAGAGGAAACUCUGGUGGAGGCUCGCAGCGGUUCUGACGUGCAAAUCGAUCGU
RNAcentral lists this ribosomal RNA (789 nucleotides) under Paraboeremia putaminum. RNAcentral describes it as "partial large subunit ribosomal RNA". It matches the Rfam family "Eukaryotic large subunit ribosomal RNA", at positions 98 to 905 of the family's 3401-position model. The record is from RNAcentral. Lineage: Eukaryota; Fungi; Ascomycota; Dothideomycetes; Pleosporales; Didymellaceae. RNAcentral also lists the same sequence under 1 other name.